Molecule: ribosomal RNA, 409 nt
Filed under: uncultured bacterium
Lineage: Bacteria
Description: bacterial SSU rRNA
Rfam family: Bacterial small subunit ribosomal RNA
Source: RNAcentral
GUGGGGAAUAUUGGGCAAUGGGCGCAAGCCUGACCCAGCAACGCCGCGUGAAGGAAGAAGGCUUUCGGGUUGUAAACUUCUUUUACCAGGGACGAAGAAAGUGACGGUACCUGGAGAAUAAGCCACGGCUAACUACGUGCCAGCAGCCGCGGUAAUACGUAGGUGGCGAGCGUUGUCCGGAUUUACUGGGUGUAAAGGGCGCGUAGGCGGGGAUGCAAGUCAGGUGUGAAAUCUAUGGGCUUAACCCAUAAACUGCACUUGAAACUGUAUUUCUUGAGUGUCGGAGAGGUAGACGGAAUUCCUAGUGUAGCGGUGAAAUGCGUAGAUAUUAGGAGGAACACCAGUGGCGAAGGCGGUCUACUGGACGAUAACUGACGCUGAGGCGCGAAAGCGUGGGGAGCAAACAGGA